CGAGUUCCGUGUGCAUGUUUUGCAGGCGCGUGUGCAUUUCGCCCUGCCUCUUGCUUUCUGAUGCAACAUUGAACUGUGUCUCCUGGGCUACUAGGGGACCUUGUUAUGUUUUUUUUUUUUUUUCUUCCUGUCCUCGCAGGAAACGAGAACCAAUUGCUGUGCUGUUGCCAUCGGAGCGGGGAGGUUUGUUUUCCCUCCACUUUCAUCCCUGGUACCUCCCCAUCGACAGUUACCGUAGAAACAAGAGCAACUCCGACUCUAUUUCCAUCCACGUCUCCUUCCUGCAAUGAUUUAUCGUUGCUUUCUUUUUUUAAUCCACCGCACAGCACCUACCUACCAACACUCUAGCAGCCAAUAAAAUAUUCAGAAAAUUGUGUGACAUCUCUCCAAAGGAGCUGUAUAUAAGCAGAAGAUGAAGAACUGCAGAAGCACAUGCUGAGAUACUUCUCUCGCAGUGCCACUUGAACUUUUCAGCUCUCCAAGCUUUAAGACGUGUCAAGAUCGCAAGGUUAACUUUUUGUGUUUCUCCCAAAAGCUCGGUCUACCCCACCCUGAAAACAAGCUCCGACAUAUCUUUCUCCAGCAUCUUGUCUCCCCCGUCCCCCUUGAACUCUUUGUUACCAGCACAUUCGGCUACCCAAAAUCCCAUUAUUGCUACUCGAGUGCACGCUGACUUCCGUGGAAUUAAACUGGAGAGCAGCAAGGGGUGUUUUGCAAUCUUAACAAUAUGGCACAGAGAUUUAGAGAGAUCCACCACCACGCUGACUCUGAGCCACGCCAAAUAAAGGGAUCGCUACUUCCUUCAUUCGCACUGAAUAUGAAGACAUUGAGGAUACAGAAGAUACAAGGAUUGGUUGUAAAAGAAAAGAAAGAAAGCCUGAUGUUGUAGUAUUAAACAGUGGUCACACCAAACUCUAAUAUUUAUAAAAUCCUGGUUCGGAGCUGCACAAACAGCUUGCCUGUGCAGUGAAAGAUCAUUACACAAUAUCUCUAUAUAUUCCAAUAAAAAGCAGUUUAAACAAUCAGUUUUUUUCUA
Molecule: non-coding RNA, 1036 nt
Organism: Gasterosteus aculeatus aculeatus (three-spined stickleback)
Lineage: Eukaryota; Metazoa; Chordata; Actinopteri; Perciformes; Gasterosteidae
Source: RefSeq, a predicted model, not a curated record